UCAAUCGUGCGCCUUCUCCAGGCGAUUUUCGGAUAUUUUCGGAUCUACACAGAGAUUGGUCUUCUUCGAACAAUUUACCCAAAAAUUUUGGAUUAUUUCAACUUAUUCUAUAGCGUUUAUUCAUCAAACCUGCUAGAGAAAUUAGGAGCUCAUGAUCACAAUGUAGCUUGAUGGUGGGAAACUCUCCAAACUUUCUCAAGAUAAGCCUUCCCAGACAUAGAGCUUCCGGAAUAACCACUAGGUUGAAAAAAUGUGGAGGAGCUCUUAGUGCGACUUGCAAGAAUGAGAAGAUACUUAUAGCAAAUCGAGGUGAAAUCGUAGUCCGAGUGAUUCUCACUGCUCACGAGAUGGGGAUUCCGUGUGUCGCAGUUCACUCAACAAUAGAUCAUGAUGCACUUCAUGUAAAGCUUGCAGAUGAAGCUGUUUGCAUUGGUGAAGCACAGAGCAGUCAAUCCUCUCUGCUAUAUGCAGCAAGCAAAAAGUGUAGCGGCAGCUGCAUUUGGUAAUGAUGGAGUUUAUUUAGAGAAGUACAUCAAGAAUCCAGAAUUUCAGGUUCUUGCUGACAAAUAUGGAAAUGUCGUUCACUUUGGGGAGCGUGAUUGUAGCAUUCAGAUUGAAGCAACAAGCAGGAUUUGAUGUUCGCAUUUCAAGAAUGUUUAGCUGGAGCUUUUCACUUUCAGUUUUCUUAACUUUCUAACAUUUAGGGUUCAAAUAAAUUUUUUAUUGCAUUGAUUUCUAUUAGAAUAUAAAAACUUGUUUUGUUGCAUUUUAUCACUGCUCUAGAUCAUUACUUAUAGUUUUGUUUCAAAAAUGAUUAUAUCGUCUUAUUGCAAUUUAGUAAUAUGACUCUUAUUUUUUUCGGAUAUUA
Ananas comosus (pineapple) is the source of this 868-nucleotide long non-coding RNA. RefSeq lists it as uncharacterized. Lineage: Eukaryota; Viridiplantae; Streptophyta; Magnoliopsida; Poales; Bromeliaceae. The record is from RefSeq and is a predicted model, not a curated record. The transcript has 5 exons.